RNAcentral lists this ribosomal RNA (465 nucleotides) under uncultured bacterium. Its description in RNAcentral is "partial 16S ribosomal RNA". It matches the Rfam family "Bacterial small subunit ribosomal RNA", at positions 28 to 507 of the family's 1533-position model. The record is from RNAcentral.
GACGAACGCUGGCGGCGUGCUUAACACAUGCAAGUCGUACGGUAAGGCCCUUUCGGGGGUACACGAGUGGCGAACGGGUGUGUAACACGUGAGUAACCUGCCCACAACUUUGGGAUAACGCUAGGAAACUGGUGCUAAUACUGGAUAUGUGCUCCUGCUGCAUGGUGGGGGUUGGAAAGCUCCGGCGGUUGUGGAUGGACUCGCGGCCUAUCAGCUUGUUGGUGGGGUAGUGGCCUACCAAGGCGGCGACGGGUAGCCGGCCUGAGAGGGUGACCGGCCACAUUGGGACUGAGAUACGGCCCAGACUCCUACGGGAGGCAGCAGUGGGGAAUAUUGCACAAUGGGCGCAAGCCUGAUGCAGCAACGCCGCGUGCGGGAUAACGGCCUUCGGGUUGUAAACCGCUUUCAGCAGGGACGAAGCUUUUUGUGACGGUACCUGCAGAAGAAGCACCGGCUAACUACGUG